This 212-nucleotide ribosomal RNA is filed under the name Halopiger aswanensis. Lineage: Archaea; Methanobacteriati; Methanobacteriota; Halobacteria; Halobacteriales; Natrialbaceae. The record is from RNAcentral.
CGAACGGGUCCAGGCGCUAACUGGACUACACAUACACACGGUCAAUCAACCGAUAUUGGCAUGAUCACGGUUCGAUUCCGUGAAUCGGCGUUAGGCGGCCACAGCGGCGAGGUUCCUCCCGUACCCAUCCCGAACACGGAAGAUAAGCUCGCCUGCGUAUCGGCAACUACUGGAGUGGGCGACCCUCUGGGAACGUCGAUUCGCCGCCCCAC